AAGCUGAGGUAGUAGGUUGUAUGGUUUAGAAUUACACCAAGGGAGAUAACUGUACAGCCUCCUAGCUUUCCUUGGGU
This is a microRNA precursor of Naja naja (Indian cobra), 77 nucleotides long. Ensembl annotates it as microRNA let-7a-2. The record is from Ensembl. Lineage: Eukaryota; Metazoa; Chordata; Lepidosauria; Squamata; Elapidae.